GGGUACCAGUAGCCGAUGCCGAACUGACGGCAGGGGCAGAGACUCUGGAGAAGUUGCAGACGCUUCGUGUUAGGGAAGUUGCAUUGCUACAACAGAUUUUUAAGCAACAGAGCAAUCCAGCCAAGUUUAUAUUUUAGAGAGAGAACAUCUUCCAUGUGGAGGAUCAGUUGAAAUAGAAGAGAUUGUUAGAAUUGUAGGGCGGUAGUAUUCCAGGCAGGAGAUGACGAAUGCCAGACACCACCUAGUCACAGACAUAGCUUUUGCAGAGAUCAGCUACAUGUUGUUGUUUUUUAUUUACUCUCUCAUAUAAUUUUUUUUAAGUCCUGGACCACAAAAUACUGUGGCAUCGUUGGAAAAAUCUGAGACUCGAUUCUAGUCUUUUUUCUGUUUGCCUGCUCUGCAGCUUGGGCUUACGUUCUCAAGCCUUACUUUUUCAUUGUGAAAUAAGAACGGUGCUACUUAACCCGAGAACUCCCCAGGCACAUAGACCCGUGGCGUGUGAGGAGCAGUGAAGGAGAGAAGGAAUGGAAGUGCUUUGGGGACCCCAAGAGCCCUUCAGAAACCGUUUGUUCUUUUUAAUAUUGAGCAUUAAAAGUGAAGGCAUUCCAUUUGUUUCACUCAAAAACAAAUUCUGUUCUUCUGAUAGCCUGUUUUUUUUUUCCACUCCCUUUUUCUAUAGUCAGAUCAGUUCCUGAUGGGCAUUCUCCAGUCCACACUAUUGCAUCUGAUUGGAGGCUAUGCAAAAUUUCCCAGAGACAAUGAAUUUUGACGACAGACUUCUUGGUGUCCACUGUACCCAUGGUUUCAACAGGACUGGCUACCUCAUGUGCAGAGCACGGGCUCCAGACGCGCAGGCUCAGUAGUUGUGGCUCACGGACCCAGUCGCUCCGGGGCAUGUGCGAUCUUCCCAGACCAGAGCUCGAAUCCGUGUCCCGUGCAUUGGCAGGCAGAUUCUCAACACUGCGCCACCAGGGAAACUCCGGAAUAAAGCCUUUUUGUAGUCAUGAUAUUUGAUUGAUGUAGAAGGCAUGUGGCCAGAUGAUGCAAUUGAAUACUGGUGUUUUAUCUUUACAAGUUCUCCGUCAUUCCAUAAGAAAGCUGCUCGUCUUCUGGUUUCAUAAGAGAUGGUGAACAGUGGUAAAAUAUCCAGUUGACCGAAAUUUCUAGAGUACACUUCAGGGAGCGAGUGAUGGGGUGGAAUGUUGGGGCAGAGUGAGAGAUACAGAUUCUGGUGAGACUGAGAGUCAUGCACAAAAAUUACUGGGCUGUGGUGAAGGGAGAACAAAACUAAAUCAGGUUCCUGCUGGUGGACAGGAAGCCAAGAUGAAGAAGAAUGGUGCGUAGCUGGGCAGUGUAAUUAGGCCCCUAAGUGCUGUGUCUCCUGAUAGUAAUUAUGAACAGAAACCAAAUAAUAGUUACUAAUAACAUGGAGGUGACCAAUCCUUGAGAGCUGAGGCAGAGAGAAGGAAAGAUGGCAUUAUGCCUUGUCUCUGGUGCCUUGAGUUUCCCAGGCUGGUUUGUGACCAAUCUUGGGUGAAAUCAUAACUAAGUCAUUUCUGCUAAGGUGAUCAGCUUUCGUGGGGUCCUUUCUCUGCACUCUGUCCAAUGGUAAAGCCCACUGGUUUAUGCCUCCUGGAAAACAGUUAUUCCAAAGCAGUAUAAGUGAAGCAUUGAUGAAACAGCCAUGAAGAGCAUGUUUCCACAUGGCCUCGCACCACCUUUUCAAAGUGCUGUAAAACUUUUUUCAUCCAAAAAUCAGUAACAGAAAAGGAUUGGGAUCAAAUCCCGUACAGAGGUAGUGUAAGAAAAAAGAGAAUAAGGAGCAGAAUAGCAUGUCUUCAGACAAUAAAAUCAAGUUGGAAAAGACAGGUCCACAAAACAGAUCAAAACUGUAACCUAUUAUUUCAAAGUGGGCUAAAAGAUGUUAGGAAAAACAAUGCGAAAGAUGAAAGAACAUGGAUCGAGGAGGGAAUGGGAAGUUAUUGUUUAGUGGCUAUAGAGUCUCUGUUUGGGAUGGUGGAAAAGUUCUGGAAAUGGUAAAUGCUGAUAAAUGCCACCUAUGGGUGUUUGGUUUUAGUUGAUCUUCUUCCAUGAAAGGGUUUGGAGAGAUUCAGAAGCUAUGCUGCUGCCUCCAUCUUUCUGAUGUCCUGCUCAAUCUUUUGACAUAAUUAUUUUGAAUUUGCACAGUGGUGAUGGUUGCACAGCAUUGUGAAUGUAUUUAAUGUCACUGAAUUGUAUACUUGAAAAUGGUUGAAAUAAUAAAUUUUGUUUUAUGUA
Molecule: long non-coding RNA, 2277 nt
Organism: Balaenoptera ricei (Rice's whale)
Lineage: Eukaryota; Metazoa; Chordata; Mammalia; Artiodactyla; Balaenopteridae
Exons: 5
Source: RefSeq, a predicted model, not a curated record